CAGGCUUAACACAUGCAAGUCGAGGGGCAGCAUGGUCUUAGCUUGCUAAGGCCGAUGGCGACCGGCGCACGGGUGAGUAACACGUAUCCAACCUGCCGUCUACUCUUGGACAGCCUUCUGAAAGGAAGAUUAAUACAAGAUGGCAUCAUGAGUCCGCAUGUUCACAUGAUUAAAGGUAUUCCGGUAGACGAUGGGGAUGCGUUCCAUUAGAUAGUAGGCGGGGUAACGGCCCACCUAGUCUUCGAUGGAUAGGGGUUCUGAGAGGAAGGUCCCCCACAUUGGAACUGAGACACGGUCCAAACUCCUACGGGAGGCAGCAGUGAGGAAUAUUGGUCAAUGGGCGAGAGCCUGAACCAGCCAAGUAGCGUGAAGGAUGACUGCCCUAUGGGUUGUAAACUUCUUUUAUAAAGGAAUAAAGUCGGGUAUGGAUACCCGUUUGCAUGUACUUUAUGAAUAAGGAUCGGCUAACUCCGUGCCAGCAGCCGCGGUAAUACGGAGGAUCCGAGCGUUAUCCGGAUUUAUUGGGUUUAAAGGGAGCGUAGAUGGAUGUUUAAGUCAGUUGUGAAAGUUUGCGGCUCAACCGUAAAAUUGCAGUUGAUACUGGAUAUCUUGAGUGCAGUUGAGGCAGGCGGAAUUCGUGGUGUAGCGGUGAAAUGCUUAGAUAUCACGAAGAACUCCGAUUGCGAAGGCAGCCUGCUAAGCUGCAACUGACAUUGAGGCUCGAAAGUGUGGGUAUCAAACAGGAUUAGAUACCCUGGUAGUCCACACGGUAAACGAUGAAUACUCGCUGUUUGCGAUAUACUGCAAGCGGCCAAGCGAAAGCGUUAAGUAUUCCACCUGGGGAGUACGCCGGCAACGGUGAAACUCAAAGGAAUUGACGGGGGCCCGCACAAGCGGAGGAACAUGUGGUUUAAUUCGAUGAUACGCGAGGAACCUUACCCGGGCUUAAAUUGCAGAUGAAUUACGGUGAAAGCCGUAAGCCGCAAGGCAUCUGUGAAGGUGCUGCAUGGUUGUCGUCAGCUCGUGCCGUGAGGUGUCGGCUUAAGUGCCAUAACGAGCGCAACCCUUGUUGUCAGUUACUAACAGGUUCCGCUGAGGACUCUGACAAGACUGCCAUCGUAAGAUGUGAGGAAGGUGGGGAUGACGUCAAAUCAGCACGGCCCUUACGUCCGGGGCUACACACGUGUUACAAUGGGGGGUACAGAGGGUCGCUACCACGCGAGUGGAUGCCAAUCCCCAAAACCUCUCUCAGUUCGGACUGGAGUCUGCAACCCGACUCCACGAAGCUGGAUUCGCUAGUAAUCGCGCAUCAGCCACGGCGCGGUGAAUACGUUCCCGGGCCUUGUACACACCGCCCGUCAAGCCAUGGGAGCCGGGGGUACCUGAAGUGCGUAACCGCGAGGAGCGCCCUAGGGUAAAACUGGUGACUGGGGCUAAGUCAUAACA
This 1446-nucleotide ribosomal RNA is filed under the name uncultured organism. RNAcentral describes it as "16S ribosomal RNA". It matches the Rfam family "Bacterial small subunit ribosomal RNA". The record is from RNAcentral.